GACGAACGCUGGCGGCGCGCCUAACACAUGCAAGUCGAACGAGCAAAGAGGAGCUUGCUUCUCUGAGCGAGUGGCGAACGGGUGAGUAACGCGUGAGGAACCUGCCUCAAACGAGGGGGACAACAGUUGGAAACGACUGCUAAUACCGCAUAAGCCCACGGGUCGGCAUCGACCAGAGGGAAAAGGAGCAAUCCGCUUUGAGAUGGCCUCGCGUCCGAUUAGCUAGUUGGUGAGGUAACGGCCCACCAAGGCGACGAUCGGUAGCCGGACUGAGAGGUUGAACGGGCCACAUUGGGACUGAGACACGGCCCAGACUCCUACGGGAGGCAGCAGUGGGGAAUAUUGCACAAUGGGGGAAACCCUGAUGCAGCGACGCCGCGUGGAGGAAGAAGGUCUUCGGGAUUGUAAAACUCCUGUUGUUGAGGAAGAUAAUGACGGUACUCAACAAGGAAGUGACGGCUAACUACGUG
This 470-nucleotide ribosomal RNA is filed under the name uncultured bacterium. RNAcentral's name for it is "bacterial SSU rRNA". It matches the Rfam family "Bacterial small subunit ribosomal RNA", at positions 28 to 507 of the family's 1533-position model. The record is from RNAcentral.